GGUCGGAGAAAUUUGGACUGCCACCGGAAAUUGAGGGUAUAUUGGAUAGGGACAGAAAUUUUGCCUUGCAACAGGCCACCUACGGACCCUCAAAGAGUUGUUGCAAGGGUUCUUAACGUGCAAAUAGCGUGGCACUCUCUUUACACGAGCCAUCGGAUUUAACGUCCCCCUUCUGACCGGACGCGACUGCGAACUUGAUACAUCCCGCACAGCCAAACGGACGCCCCACUUCGGCAAGCGUUUUACUGCCGGUCGGGAGAAGACCAAGUGACCAUAUUUCUAUACCCCAGUCACCCUUGG
Molecule: long non-coding RNA, 300 nt
Filed under: Mytilus galloprovincialis (Mediterranean mussel)
Lineage: Eukaryota; Metazoa; Mollusca; Bivalvia; Mytilida; Mytilidae
Source: RNAcentral